CCUGAGCAGAGCAUGGACAUGCUUGACACGAAUUAUCAAACCUUCAGCAUUGGGAGGGAAGAGAAUUCCCUUUGCACCUACAAGGGUAUGUGCAUUUGGCAUGCCAAGAAGGGAAAGGGAAAGGAAAGUAUAAGUAACCGUCCUACAAGUAGCAAACGUUGCCCUGCAAACGCCAAUGAAGCAACAGUGCAUGGCCACAGACCCCUACUGAGAUACCUGAGGCCACUGCAGCCAAGGCUCUCGUCUUCCCUCCUCCUUCCCCUCCACCCCGGUAGCAUCCGCUGGGCAGCAUCUGCUGGGCACAGUCCGAGGGGUCUACAGUUGAAUGUGAAUUAUGAGCCUCUGCAGGGAGGUUUAGGAAGGUUCCAUCUGUGUCUCAUUCUCUCCCAGG
Molecule: long non-coding RNA, 391 nt
Organism: Lemur catta (Ring-tailed lemur)
Lineage: Eukaryota; Metazoa; Chordata; Mammalia; Primates; Lemuridae
Exons: 3
Source: RefSeq, a predicted model, not a curated record